AUUGAACGCUGGCGGCAUGCCUUACACAUGCAAGUCGAACGGCAGCGGGGGAGAAGCUUGCUUUUCCUGCCGGCGAGUGGCGAACGGGUGAGUAAUACAUCGGAACGUGCCCUGUAGUGGGGGAUAACUAGUCGAAAGAUUAGCUAAUACCGCAUACGACCUGAGGGUGAAAGUGGGGGACCGCAAGGCCUCAUGCUAUAGGAGUGGCCGGUGUCUGAUUAGCUAGUUGGUGGGGUAAAGGCCUACCAAGGCGACGAUCAGUAGCUGGUCUGAGAGGACGAUCAGCCACACUGGGACUGAGACGCGGCCCAGACUCCUACGGGAGGCAGCAGUGGGGAAUUUUGGACAAUGGGCGAAAGCCUGAUCCAGCAAUGCCGCGUGUGUGAAGAAGGCCUUCGGGUUGUAAAGCACUUUUGUCCGGAAAGAAAUGGCUCUGGUUAAUACCUGGGGUCGAUGACGGUACCGGAAGAAUAAGGACCGGCUAACUACGUGCCAGCAGCCGCCGUAA
RNAcentral lists this ribosomal RNA (508 nucleotides) under uncultured bacterium. RNAcentral describes it as "partial 16S ribosomal RNA". It matches the Rfam family "Bacterial small subunit ribosomal RNA", at positions 30 to 523 of the family's 1533-position model. The record is from RNAcentral.